UACGAAGGGUGCAAGCGUUACUCGGAAUUACUGGGCGUAAAGCGCACGUAGGCGGCUUUGUAAGUUAGAGGUGAAAGCCCAGGGCUUAACCCUGGAAUUGCCUUUAAGACUGCAUCGCUAGAAUCGUGGAGAGGUGAGUGGAAUUCCGAGUGUAGAGGUGAAAUUCGUAGAUAUUCGGAAGAACACCAGUGGCGAAGGCGACUCACUGGACCGGUUCUGACGCUGAAGCGCGAAAGCGUGGGGAGCAAACGGG
This 253-nucleotide ribosomal RNA is filed under the name uncultured bacterium. RNAcentral's name for it is "partial 16S ribosomal RNA". It matches the Rfam family "Bacterial small subunit ribosomal RNA", at positions 524 to 776 of the family's 1533-position model. The record is from RNAcentral.